UGUGGAUGGUAUACGCCGGUACAACAAUAUAUAACAAUAAUAAUAUUACAUUUCAACGCUGAUGGAGCGAGCAAGAUAUCCCAACAGAAAAUGGAAAAAAAAGUCGGGUGGUGUUGGUAAUUGGUGACUAGUGAUCGCUAGAAUAUGUCCAGACCAACAACUGAACCGUUAUGCAAACGAAAAGAUUAUGCAUAAAAAACAUACAAUUAUAAUGUUACGUAACCUGCACUUAUAUCAAACCUGUGUCUAACUAAUAAUUACUACGACGUAUCUGCAGUAAUUUUUUUUUAUCAAAUUAUCUAUUGUUUGUAAAGAAUUAUUAUCAAUAAUAUUAUAUUAUUCUUAUAUAAGUAUGAUUGGUGUCGGUGUGUUGGAAAUAAAUUUUGACAUCCGGCAUCUAGAAUACAAGGACAACUCGGGGAUAUUAAUAUAAUAUAUAAUAAAUACAA
Molecule: long non-coding RNA, 449 nt
Organism: Rhopalosiphum padi (bird cherry-oat aphid)
Lineage: Eukaryota; Metazoa; Arthropoda; Insecta; Hemiptera; Aphididae
Exons: 2
Source: RefSeq, a predicted model, not a curated record